Molecule: unclassified non-coding RNA, 372 nt
Filed under: Hevea brasiliensis (rubber tree)
Lineage: Eukaryota; Viridiplantae; Streptophyta; Magnoliopsida; Malpighiales; Euphorbiaceae
Source: RNAcentral
AAAGUACCAAAUCUUAGACAAUAUAGCUUGGAAACAUUAAAAAAAAAAAAAAAAUUACGCAGCUUCAUGAAACAGCACAUAAAUCCAAUUGUGCAGUACACGACCACAGAAGCAAUGCCAUCCAAAGACAAGAAGAGUGAAAAAGUCUUAUAAAUAGAUUUAAUAAUAAUAGUCAUAAACAAAGGCACUUACUGUUUGUUCAGGGGUAUGCCACACAUAUGAGCAAUCUUGCAAUUAGGAGGGCUUAUAUUAAUUAAAAAGUUCAAUGGCUAAUCCAGCAUUAUUCAUUUACAGUCCUUUAACUGAAAAACCAUUAAAACAGUAGUAAACUAGCAAUAUCAGAUCUUACCGUAUUAAAAUCCACCUCCUUAA